Molecule: small nuclear RNA, 108 nt
Filed under: Octodon degus (degu)
Lineage: Eukaryota; Metazoa; Chordata; Mammalia; Rodentia; Octodontidae
Source: RNAcentral
CUGCUCACUUCAGCAGCAUGUAUACUAGAACUGGAAUGAUGCAAAGAAGCUGAGCAUGGGCCCCUGCGCAAGGAAGUCGCUCCAAGUCGGACAGCGUUCAAUAUUAAA